RNAcentral lists this ribosomal RNA (1323 nucleotides) under Colletotrichum gloeosporioides. Its description in RNAcentral is "SSU rRNA". It matches the Rfam family "Eukaryotic small subunit ribosomal RNA", at positions 78 to 1434 of the family's 1831-position model. The record is from RNAcentral. Lineage: Eukaryota; Fungi; Ascomycota; Sordariomycetes; Glomerellales; Glomerellaceae.
CAGCCGAAACUGCGAAUGGCUCAUUAUAUAAGUUAUCGUUUAUUUGAUAGUACCUUACUACUUGGAUAACCGUGGUAAUUCUAGAGCUAAUACAUGCUAAAAAUCCCGACUUACGAAGGGAUGUAUUUAUUAGAUUAAAAACCAAUGCCCUUCGGGGCUCACUGGUGAUUCAUAAUAACUUCUCGAAUCGCAUGGCCUUGCGCCGGCGAUGGUUCAUUCAAAUUUCUUCCCUAUCAACUUUCGAUGCUAGAGUAGUGUUCUAGCAUGGUUACAACGGGUAACGGAGGGUUAGGGCUCGACCCCGGAGAAGGAGCCUGAGAAACGGCUACUACAUCCAAGGAAGGCAGCAGGCGCGCAAAUUACCCAAUCCCGACACGGGGAGGUAGUGACGAUAAAUACUGAUACAGGGCUCUUUUGGGUCUUGUAAUUGGAAUGAGUACAAUUUAAAUCCCUUAACGAGGAACAAUUGGAGGGCAAGUCUGGUGCCAGCAGCCGCGGUAAUUCCAGCUCCAAUAGCGUAUAUUAAAGUUGUUGUGGUUAAAAAGCUCGUAGUAGAACCUUGGGCCUGGCUGGCCGGUCCGCCUCACCGCGUGCACUGGUCCGGCCGGGCCUUUCCCCCUGUGGAACCUCAUGCCCUUCACUGGGUGUGUGGGAAAACAGGACUUUUACUUUGAAAAAAUUAGAGUGCUCCAGGCAGGCCUAUGCUCGAAUACAUUAGCAUGGAAUAAUAGAAUAGGACGUGUGGUUCUAUUUUGUUGGUUUCUAGGACCGCCGUAAUGAUUAAUAGGGACAGUCGGGGGCAUCAGUAUUCAAUUGUCAGAGGUGAAAUUCUUGGAUUUAUUGAAGACUAACUACUGCGAAAGCAUUUGCCAAGGAUGUUUUCAUUUAUCAGGAACGAAAGUUAGGGGAUCGAAGACGAUCAGAUACCGUCGUAGUCUUAACCAUAAACUAUGCCGACUAGGGAUCGGACGAUGUUAUUUUUUGACUCGUUCGGCACCUUACGAGAAAUCAAAGUGCUUGGGCUCCAGGGGGAGUAUGGUCGCAAGGCUGAAACUUAAAGAAAUUGACGGAAGGGCACCACCAGGGGUGGAGCCUGCGGCUUAAUUUGACUCAACACGGGGAAACUCACCAGGUCCAGACACAAUGAGGAUUGACAGAUUGAGAGCUCUUUCUUGAUUUUGUGGGUGGUGGUGCAUGGCCGUUCUUAGUUGGUGGAGUGAUUUGUCUGCUUAAUUGCGAUAACGAACGAGACCUUAACCUGCUAACUAGCCCGUAUUGCUUUGGCAGUACGCUGGCUUCUUAGAGGGACUAUCGGGUUCAAGC